AGGUGAUACAGGUGAGAGUGCACAGGUGAGAGUGUACAGGUGAUACAGGUGAGAGUGUACAGGUGAGAGUGUACAGGUGAUACAGGUGAGAGUGUACAGGUGAGAGUGUACAGGUGAUACAGGUGAGAGUGUACAGGUGAGAGUGUACAGGUGAUACAGGUGAGAGUGUACAGGUGAGAGUGUACAGGUGAUACAGGUGAGAGUGUACAGGUGAGAGUGUACAGGU
Dicentrarchus labrax (European seabass) is the source of this 226-nucleotide long non-coding RNA. RefSeq lists it as uncharacterized. The transcript is spliced from 3 exons. The record is from RefSeq and is a predicted model, not a curated record. Lineage: Eukaryota; Metazoa; Chordata; Actinopteri; Moronidae.